AUGGAUCUAACUGUCGUGUUAUCUGCUAUUAUUUUCACGCUUCUCGCCGUUGUGCUCGCGACGUCGCUAUUUAGCGGCGCCUCGUCCACGGCCGACUUCGCCAACGCGCGGGGUUACUUCGGGGACCGAGGGGGCGACGCGGCCGAGGGAUUAGAUCGGUCGGGGCCGAAGCAGAACGGCCAUGUGCCCGAGAAGAAGAAGAAGACAGCGGAGGACUGGAGUGAGAUCAGCGAGAGCUCCCACGAUCACUGGGAUGUCGUGAAAUCUGUGCUCUCAGAGGAGGCGCAUCCCCUAUCUCAGAAUGAAGAACUGACAGCACCAGUCGAACACUCCACAUCCAGCCCGUCCAUCCCCAGCCCUGGUUCUAGGCAUAUGAGCUUAGAAGUAGACUCGUCGUCCGAGGCCUCGUCGGGGAGGGGCCAUAGGUCAUUCAUUGGGCUCUCUGAUAAGGAGCUCCUAAAGUGUGCUUUCUCUUACCCCCAGACCGAAGGAGUCACAGAGAGCCCGGGGAUCGACGAUCAGGGGGAAUCAAACACAAACGAUUCCUUGAAGUACGUCCCUGGAAAGGCGCGAUCCCACCACUUGCAAAUGAUGAUGUCCAAAGAGGAGCUGGAGGAGGAGCAGAGGGUGCAACGGGAGCAGCUGGCCGCCAUCUUCCAGCUGCUGAAAGACAACAAGGAGACGUUUGGGGAGGUGUCGGAGGGAGACAUGGAGGAGCAGCUAAGACUCUACUCCAUCUGAGACUCCUCUCGGACUCACCUCUCUGUGUUGCGCUCCACCGUCUGACUGCACUCUUUUGCUUCCACUCACAUUGCAGUUCACAUGAAGACCAAAGGAAACAAACAGCUGGACUUUUACCAGCGCAGAACAGGAUUUUCUAGCUACCAAUUUACAACUAAGGACUAAUAAAGAUGAGGGAUUAUUAUAAUAUCUUAUUAGUUUGAUAAUAUAAUAAAAAAAUAUUAAUUUAUUAUAAAACUUUUUUUUUUAUUCUAUUUUAUCUUCAUUAAAUCUGUAACAGGUAUAAAUACCUGCAAAAUCACUUCUGCAUAACUUCCACCCUGGUAUGUAAUAAAGGACACAAUGUAAGAUUGUGAAUAUGUGUGUGAGUGAGUGGUUCCCAUUUUAUUAUGUAUCUUUGCAUCAGGAAACUGCACUGUAGCCCUGCCCAACCACCCUUGGUGACUUGGUGGCUUUUGCACCUGGCCACAAAUUCCAGGAAGGAAAGUACAGACUCGUCUGUAUUUGAGUCAACAGCAAAGACUCCACUUG
Molecule: RNA transcript, 1272 nt
Organism: Xiphias gladius (swordfish)
Lineage: Eukaryota; Metazoa; Chordata; Actinopteri; Istiophoriformes; Xiphiidae
Exons: 5
Source: RefSeq, a predicted model, not a curated record